Molecule: ribosomal RNA, 207 nt
Filed under: uncultured bacterium
Lineage: Bacteria
Description: partial 16S ribosomal RNA
Rfam family: Bacterial small subunit ribosomal RNA
Source: RNAcentral
CGCGUAGGUGGCUUGUCAGGUCUGAUGUGAAAACCUGGGGCUCAACCCCAGGCCUGCAUCGGAAACCGGCUUGCUAGAGUCUGGGAGAGGAGAGUGGAAUUCCUGGUGUAGCGGUGAAAUGCGUAGAUAUCAGGAGGAACACCGGUAGCGAAGGCGGCUCUCUGGAACAGUACUGACACUGAGGCGCGAAAGCUAGGGGAGCGAACA